GGUAAUACCGGCAGCACGAGUGAUGGCCGCUCUUAUUGGGCCUAAAGCGUCCGUAGCUGGCCGCGCAAGUCCAUCGGGAAAUCCGCACGCUUAACGUGCGGGCGUCCCGGUGGAAACUGCGUGGCUUGGGACCGGAAGAUCCAGAGGGUACGUCCGGGGUAGGAGUGAAAUCCUGUAAUCCUGGACGGACCACCGGUGGCGAAAGCGCUCUGGAAAGACGGAUCCGACGGUGAGGGACGAAAGCUCGGGUCACGAACCGGAUUAGAUACCCGGGUAGUCCGAGCUGUAAACGAUGUCUGCUAGGUGUGCCACAGGCUACGAGCCUGUGGUGUGCCGUAGGGAAGCCGUGAAGCAGACCGCCUGGGAAGUACGUCCGCAAGGAUGAAACUUAAAGGAAUUGGCGGGGGAGCACUACAACCGGAGGAGCCUGCGGUUUAAUUGGACUCAACGCCGGACAUCUCACCAGCAUCGACAGUAGCAAUGAAGAUCAGUGUGAUGAGCUUAUCGGAGCUACUGAGAGGAGGUGCAUGGCCGCCGUCAGCUCGUACCGUGAGGCGUCCUGUUAAGUCAGGCAACGAGCGAGACCCGCACUCCUAAUUGCCAGCAACACCCUUGUGGUGGUUGGGUACAUUAGGAGGACUGCCAGUGCCAAACUGGAGGAAGGAACGGGCAACGGUAGGUCAGUAUGCCCCGAAUGUGCUGGGCAACACGCGGGCUACAAUGGUCGAGACAGUGGGACGCAACCCCGAGAGGGGGCGCUAAUCUCCGAAACUCGAUCGUAGUUCGGAUUGCGGACUGAAACUCGUCCGCAUGAAGCUGGAUUCGGUAGUAAUCGCCGUUCAGAAGACGGCGGUGAAUACGUCCCUGCUCCUUGCACACACCGCCCGUCAAAGCACCCGAGUGAGGUCCGGAUGAGGCCCCUGUAUAGGGGUCGAAUCUG
RNAcentral lists this ribosomal RNA (940 nucleotides) under Natronococcus sp. WN29. Its description in RNAcentral is "bacterial SSU rRNA". It matches the Rfam family "Archaeal small subunit ribosomal RNA", at positions 469 to 1411 of the family's 1478-position model. The record is from RNAcentral. Lineage: Archaea; Methanobacteriati; Methanobacteriota; Halobacteria; Halobacteriales; Natrialbaceae.